Molecule: ribosomal RNA, 497 nt
Filed under: uncultured bacterium
Lineage: Bacteria
Description: partial 16S ribosomal RNA
Rfam family: Bacterial small subunit ribosomal RNA
Source: RNAcentral
GAUGAACGCUGGCGGCGUGCCUAAUACAUGCAAGUCGAGCGAACAGACGAGGAGCUUGCUCCUCUGACGUUAGCGGCGAACGGGUGAGUAACACGUGGAUAACCUACCUAUAAGACUGGGAUAACUUCGGGAAACCGGAGCUAAUACCGGAUAAUAUAUUGAACCGCAUGGUUCAAUAGUGAAAGACGGUUUUGCUGUCACUUAUAGAUGGAUCCGCGCCGCAUUAGCUAGUUGGUAAGGUAACGGCUUACCAAGGCAACGAUGCGUAGCCGACCUGAGAGGGUGAUCGGCCACACUGGAACUGAGACACGGUCCAGACUCCUACGGGAGGCAGCAGUAGGGAAUCUUCCGCAAUGGGCGAAAGCCUGACGGAGCAACGCCGCGUGAGUGAUGAAGGUCUUCGGAUCGUAAAACUCUGUUAUUAGGGAAGAACAAAUGUGUAAGUAACUAUGCACGUCCUGACGGUACCUAAUCAGAAAGCCACGGCUAACUACGUG